This 360-nucleotide ribosomal RNA is filed under the name uncultured bacterium. RNAcentral describes it as "bacterial SSU rRNA". It matches the Rfam family "Bacterial small subunit ribosomal RNA", at positions 622 to 985 of the family's 1533-position model. The record is from RNAcentral.
USCAGSGCAUACUGGUUUCYUUGAGUACGCACAACGUUGGCGGAAUUCGUCGUGUAGCGGUGAAAUGCUUAGAUAUGACGAAGAACUCCGAUUGCGAAGGCAGCUGACGGGAGCGCAACUGACGCUUAAGCUCGAAGGUGCGGGUAUCAAACAGGAUUAGAUACCCUGGUAGUCCGCACAGUAAACGAUGGAUGCCCGCUGUUGGUACCUGGUAUCAGCGGCUAAGCGAAAGCAUUAAGCAUCCCACCUGGGGAGUACGCCGGCAACGGUGAAACUCAAAGGAAUUGACGGGGGCCCGCACAAGCGGAGGAACAUGUGGUUUAAUUCGAUGAUACGCGAGGAACCUUACCCGGGCUUGAA